GGCUGACUGCAAUCAGUGCAUUACUCGAUGACUCCAAGACAUCAAGUAAGUCGAGGGUCACAUAGGAAACUCAUAAAUAUGGAGAAGGUGUCUUCCACUGGUCUUCACUGGCUUCCACUGGUCUCCACUGACCUCCACUGACCUCCACUGGUCUGCACUGGCCUCCACUGACCUCCACUGACCUCCACUGGUCUGCACUGGCCUCCACUGACCUCCACUGGUCUCCACUGGCUUCCACUGGUCUCCACGGGCCUCCACUGGUCUCCACUGGCCUCCACUGACCUCCACUGGCUUCCACUGACUUCCACUGGUCUCCACGGGUCUCCACUGACCUCCACUGGUCUCUACUGGUCUCCACUGACCUCCACUGGCCUCCACUGGCCUCCACUGGUCUCUACUGGUCUCCACUGACCUCCACUGACCUCCACUGGUCUCUACUGGUCUCCACUGACCUCCACUGGCCUCCACUGGUCUCCGAACUUUGCACAGAUGAUGUAGUCUGGAUACAAUCUCAGACAUCACCUCCAGACUCGUAGAAAGGCAUCUACUGGGGGAUGGAGGGGACCGGCAAAGAGCAACGUGAAGGAGGUGUUGAACACAGAGGAGG
Molecule: long non-coding RNA, 607 nt
Organism: Gasterosteus aculeatus aculeatus (three-spined stickleback)
Lineage: Eukaryota; Metazoa; Chordata; Actinopteri; Perciformes; Gasterosteidae
Source: Ensembl